RNAcentral lists this transfer RNA (72 nucleotides) under Elusimicrobiota bacterium. RNAcentral describes it as "Elusimicrobia bacterium (anaerobic digester metagenome) tRNA-Arg". It matches the Rfam family "tRNA". Rfam says of the family: Transfer RNA (tRNA) molecules are approximately 80 nucleotides in length. Their secondary structure includes four short double-helical elements and three loops (D, anti-codon, and T loops). Further hydrogen bonds mediate the characteristic L-shaped molecular structure. tRNAs have two regions of fundamental functional importance: the anti-codon, which is responsible for specific mRNA codon recognition, and the 3' end, to which the tRNAs corresponding amino acid is attached (by aminoacyl-tRNA synthetases). tRNAs cope with the degeneracy of the genetic code in two manners: having more than one tRNA (with a specific anti-codon) for a particular amino acid; and 'wobble' base-pairing, i.e. permitting non-standard base-pairing at the 3rd anti-codon position. RNAcentral also lists the same sequence under 1 other name. The record is from RNAcentral. Lineage: Bacteria; Pseudomonadati; Elusimicrobiota.
GCGCUCAUAGCUCAAUGGAUAGAGCGACAGCCUGCGAAGCUGCAGAUUCGGGUUCGAUUCCCGGUGAGCGCA